Molecule: long non-coding RNA, 210 nt
Filed under: Elaeis guineensis (African oil palm)
Lineage: Eukaryota; Viridiplantae; Streptophyta; Magnoliopsida; Arecales; Arecaceae
Description: long non-coding RNA (EGUI_LNC036228)
Source: RNAcentral
CUGGCCGACAGUCUUUAUGGCUGAAAUAGCAGAUCGGUAGUAAGGAUUGGCUGCUGCAUUUGCUGGAAUAUGGCUGAAAUGAAACUAUGAUCCAAUAGCUCGCCACAUAUCCUUCUUCUUAUCUUUUUUCAGCAUACUGUCAAUUCUCUGCUGCUUUGAAUCCUUGCUGGAUAAAGCAUGUGGAUCCAAAUCCGGAAUGCUGGCUCCUAC